RNAcentral lists this long non-coding RNA (3247 nucleotides) under Olea europaea (common olive). Its description in RNAcentral is "long non-coding RNA (OEUR_LNC002650)". Lineage: Eukaryota; Viridiplantae; Streptophyta; Magnoliopsida; Lamiales; Oleaceae. The record is from RNAcentral.
GUGGAAAUGAAAAUUGAAAUUGAUUGCAAUCGACGUCCACCGUCAUUCAGUCCACCGCCAAGCAAGACUGUCAGUAAUAUGUUCAGGUUAGUUAUUCUUUGUCUUUUGCAUAUUCUUUUUUGGAAAAAAGAGGCAGUUCUUCUACAUUGUUGAGUUAGGAACGUAAAUUGAUGUUUUCGAAAGAAACGUGGCUCGUGAGAUUGGAUUUUUACCUAUGUUUACUGCCGUAGAAGGUGAUUAUAACAGUGAUGAUAAUGUGGCUGCUGCUGAGAAAGAUGGUAUACAUGAGUUGAGUAAAUCCUCGAAUUGUAAACUUUCAACGAAUAUAUGUGUUGUACGACAUCACAAGCGCUACUACACUAGUCUCACCAUUUGAUUUGGUAAGUGAACUCUGUUCAUCAAUGAAGCUUCAAUCUUGUAUGGUUUUAUUAAUCAAGUUUGAAGCUGCCGGUCUAUUAGUAUGUAGUUUUUUUAUUGCUGUUAUGUAAUUGUCGUUCCAGUUCUUAUUUUAGUACGAUAUGUGAGUUCCAAUACUUGAUCUUAAAUUAUAAAGUGAAUCAAUUGAAAUUAUAACAUUUAGUUGCAAAGAUAGAUGAAGGACUUUUUUUAAGUUUGUAUUCCACUUGUGAAUGCUAAAAGAAUAUGUUGCAAUGAUGCAUGAGAUAAUUGCAGAUCUUGGUGAAUAUUCAUGUGAUUGUGCAUAUGUUCGUAACUUCUUUGAUCCUCCAUUCUGGAAAUUAUCCUCUGAUACAAAAGCAAAGUUUUCCUUUUAGCAAUAGCUACUUUCAAUCACAUAUUUUAUAAUUACGGAUGCGAGCUAUUUAUGUAUAUUGUCAAAGACUUAAUCACCCACUGAACUAUAUCUUGUUUUAUUUGGGUUUUUUGCAAUGUUGGCAUGUUCUAUUUGAGUUCUUGUUGAGUCUAUUUUAAAUGCACCACGACUGGCUAUCAACCACAAACUAUAGAACAUGUUUACAAUUCAGUUUACAUGCUAAGUUUGACUGUUGUCACAAGAGGAAAAAAAGAAUAUACGUACAACAUAUAUUAAUUCUCUACAAAACUUAAUUUUUUAACUUACAAUAUUUAUAUAUGCCUACUUUCGAUAAAGUUCCACAUAUGAUGUUGAAAACUUAUCUAACGAAGUCAACUGCUUACUUUUGAAUACAUUAUUAACUUAUUAAAGUUAAAGCUCAAGAGAAAUGAACAUGAUUGAUACCCAAUUCUAAACCUAUUGCCAUGACUAAUUAAUAUGAUUAAUGACAUUAGCAAUUUAAAAUAGUUUAAUAAAUUAAAUUUGAAAUAUGUUCUUGUUCCUUAAUCUAUACGGCAAAAAGACUUCCUGUCCACGAAGUUAUUUAGAAGAUUAAUGGUAAUCCUUGUGAUGACAAAGUGGACAGUUAAUUCUGGUAUGUACACAAUUGUCGCGUCUAGACCAAAACAAUAAUUCUACUUUUUUUCAUUGUAUUUUCAUUAUAAAGAUGCCCGACUGACCUCAUUAGAUUUAAAUUGAGUGGUUUUAAGUCCAUUACACGUAAUUUAAUUAUAACUAAAGAAGACUAAAUCAUUUUCAAAUGAGCUUACAAUCCUUAUCUACUAAUUUUUAGGUGAACUUUGGGAUAAUGAGGAUAUUUGGACCUUUUCUAUGUGCAGUAGCGUUAUUCAUUAGAGGUAUUAUAGCACUAAAGAAAGCCAAAAAAAUGAAAGAAAAAUUACAAUUACGAGUAAAUCGAGUCCAACAUUUUUAAGGAGUAAGAGAUUUUAAAGCACUUCCUGUAAUAGAACAUGUCAACCACAAAAUGCACCACGACUGUUUGAGUUCUUGUUAAGUGUGUUUUACAUGCACCACGACUCGCUAUCAACCACAUUUAAGAGGAUAGCAAUAUUCGAAAUCGUCUGAGCGUUUGAACUUCAAAAGUUCACGAGAAAUCAAGUGCUCUCUAUGUUAAUCUUGUUUUCGGAUUCUAGUAUGGAAUUAGAGUUUAUAUACACUACUCAUGUCCCAACUAAUGUUUCUGCACAUAUUGGCUAGGAUUAUCAUCUUCGGGUAAUAGAAAUCAAGUGCAAUUGUACGCCAUUUUCGUUUGUUAGGUCACUAAUACAUAUAGUUAUUGUACGUAACUUGAUUAUUUUCUGUAUCACUGUUCAAUCUCUUCUGUCUUCAUUUGCUUGCCUCAAGCAAGAAGAGAAAGUAAAACAAUGUUGACACUGGGAUACUUCUAAUUAUUUUGUUGUAGGUUUUGGAAAUGAUAUAACUUUAACUUCAUAUGACAUGUCUAUUUGCGGUUGCACUUAUUUUGUGGCUCCUUUCGAAUGCCAAGUUUAAAGAUUGUCAUGGUGCCAUUUCGUCAGCUAUGGUUGAAUUUUAGUUUGAUCUAUUAGAGAAAAUUUUGGGAAUUGAAUAGGAUAAGGGAUUUGACCAUUAUAAAUUAGCUUUAAUAUUACUUUUGGUUAUACUUGAUAUACACUUUCAGUUUAUAAUGCUUCAUAAUUAAAAUAUUUGGAGACUGGUGUUCAAGAAAUGUGGCAAUUUGAAUGUAUGCUCCUCUUCAAUACAUUUUUUAUGGGUAAAAUUUAUUUCUCUUGUUGCAGAACCAAACUUUACGGAGUGUCGAGGAAGAAAAGAGACGUUUUUGUCUAUAGCACUUUGCAACUGCUACAACUAGAUGUGGUGAAAGCACUUUCUUCUAUCUUGUUUUUGAUAUGUACAAAUAUGUAUUGAACUUAGCACGCAUAAGAAAUUGACAAAACAACUUGCUGCUUUGCAUUUCUCUUAGAUUGCUCGGUAAGCAAUUGCUUGAUUUGGUGUUUUCAUUGUAGUUAUAAAGGGAAAAUUAUUCUUGUCUACUUGCCUUCUACUCUAACGGUCCUUUUUUACUUGGUUGCUUCGAUGUGUUUACAUUUGUACCUGUUUGCUUGGCGAUACUGAUGACAUUGUAGAAUUAACAUCUAGUUUUUAAGUUCAUUGUGAUUUUUGGGAUGACUGGAUUUUGGCAUAUUCUACAUUUUGAUAUAAAGCACCAUGCAUAUAUAACACAUAUUUCUGUUCGCAUUGUAGCAUUAACAUCUAAGUUUUAAAGUGUUUUGUGAAUUUUCAGAAGACUGAUUUUUCGCUGUUAUAUACCAAGUUUGUGUGUUGGGGCACCAUGCAUAUGUAUGCCAUGUUUCUGUUGAAAACUGUCGUUCCCGACAUUUGGCUGCAGAAUUUCUCGACAGUUGGGUGAAUCUCCACAGAUGGCAUUCUCGAUAG